UAACAUUUUAGCUCAAUUUAGUUACAUUUAUUACUAUUUCUAUGAUCCAAUUUAGAGUUACAGAAAACUGGUUUAUUGACGGGAAACACCAACAACCUAAGCUUCUGAUUUUCGUUAAAAAUUCAAUACUACUUAGAAUAUUAUGAAAACUUCCAUAAUAUUAUUAGACACAUAAACGCACAACAUAUAAAAUUUUCAAGCCAUUUGGACAACUCUAUAAUAGGUUCUCACAGGAUUGAACUAAACAAAUCAAAAAUGCCUUUUUAAUUCACACAAAAACAGCUGAGCAUUGUUUAUUUAUUAAAAUUUAAAAUACUCAAUAUGUUGGGAUGAUAAUUCCCAGAACAUAAUUACACAUAUAACUCUCUGAUAUCAUUAAGCUAAUGUUUCAUAAGAUCAAACACAAGUGAACAGUUCUGUCAAGGGGUUUACGGCUAAAGCUGUAGAGUUUGAAAAAAAAAAAAAUUCAAUUACCAUGGAAUUUUCCACAUUUAAAAUAGACAUAUUGAAGUUUAAUAUCUCAAAAUUUUGUCUCAUUUCGACGCCAUUAGAUUAUUCGUUUAUAACACCAAACAUGGUACAUACACAGUUUCUGAUAAAUUCCAACAGCAACUGACCAAUUUGACGAAUCCAUUAUAAAUCAACUAUUAGUUCAAUUCAUUCCAAAAUGUCCAGACUCGAAAGAUACAAUACUCAAAAUUUGAAGCAAAUCAAGCAUCAUUUAGUCAUAUUUCGAAACAAUCAAAGUUAUGAUAACAGUCCAACAAUCUUUAAAUUUUCUGGAGAAUCAAUAAACUAUUUAUC
Molecule: long non-coding RNA, 804 nt
Filed under: Citrus sinensis (sweet orange)
Lineage: Eukaryota; Viridiplantae; Streptophyta; Magnoliopsida; Sapindales; Rutaceae
Description: long non-coding RNA (CSIN_LNC005405)
Source: RNAcentral